This 71-nucleotide transfer RNA is filed under the name Candidatus Woesearchaeota archaeon. Its description in RNAcentral is "tRNA-Lys". It matches the Rfam family "tRNA", at positions 17 to 71 of the family's 71-position model. Rfam says of the family: Transfer RNA (tRNA) molecules are approximately 80 nucleotides in length. Their secondary structure includes four short double-helical elements and three loops (D, anti-codon, and T loops). Lineage: Archaea; Nanobdellati; Candidatus Woesearchaeota. The record is from RNAcentral.
GGUAUUGCUUGGGCAACUAGAGCAAUCGGCUCUUAACCGAUAGGUCGGGGGUUCAAAUCCCUCUGAGCCCA